This 163-nucleotide ribosomal RNA is filed under the name [Laserpitium] eliasii subsp. thalictrifolium. RNAcentral describes it as "5.8S ribosomal RNA". It matches the Rfam family "5.8S ribosomal RNA". From Rfam's summary of the family: 5.8S ribosomal RNA (5.8S rRNA) is a component of the large subunit of the eukaryotic ribosome. It is transcribed by RNA polymerase I as part of the 45S precursor that also contains 18S and 28S rRNA. Functionally, it is thought that 5.8S rRNA may be involved in ribosome translocation. The record is from RNAcentral. Lineage: Eukaryota; Viridiplantae; Streptophyta; Magnoliopsida; Apiales; Apiaceae.
AAACGACUCUCGGCAACGGAUAUCCCGGCUCUCGCAUCGAUGAAGAACGUAGCGAAAUGCGAUACUUGGUGUGAAUUGCAGAAUCCCGUGAACCAUCGAGUCUUUGAACGCAAGUUGCGCCCGAAGCCAUUAGGCCUAGGGCACGUCUGCCUGGGUGUCACGC